CCUGGGUUCUAGUGAUUCUCCUGUCUUGGCCUCUCAAGAGCAACCUGAGGAGGUGCUACCAUGUCUUCAAGAUGACUUGGGGAUAUUUUCUGGGAAGAAAAACCUCCUGUCCAUAUCUCUGACAACUGAGGAAGAGGCCUUGCCAGUUUCAUCCAGAUUUGGAUUUGGAAGAUGAAGGCUCUCAAAGUGAAUCAAAGGAUCCAUGACAGCUCCCCAGAGGGCACAGAGAAGUCUAACCAGGACCUUCUGAUUACCCAGUUAAUUCGUAAGGUACUGGGUGAGCCUGGAGAGGACACAUCCCAUGAGGUUGGCUGCAACACAGUGUGUGGUAACAAUGCACUUGCCUUAGACACCACAUGGUCCUCACUGCUAAGGGAUUUCUUGUACUUUAUAAUACUAAAUGAAGAUCAGGUUUUUUCCAACCUUGCAUAGCUACUCUAAUUCCCCUUUUACUUUUCCUAACCUUGAGAAGCUUCUAGCUCCAGGAAGAGAGAGAGUGUAUGUAUAUCUAUAUGUCUGUCUGUUUUGGUUUGGGGAAUGGAAUGGUCAGAGAAACCUGCCACAUUAGUGGGGACCUCUCUACCCACCAUAGAAAGGAAGUGAAAUAUCAAUGGUCAUGGAGAGACAAAGAGAAACACAUAUAAAUGGAACAGAUUAGUUUUAAAAAGUUCCUAUGUAUGGUGAGAGAUAACUAUCAAUUCUGAAGGACUGCCAAGCAGAUGUGAGAAUCUAGGCUGGAAGUCAGAACUGUAUACAGGCCUAAGUGGUAUAAUUUUCUCUAGCAGCUCUCAAGGGCACAAGUAUAGGCAUGAAGAAGGCAAUUAGAUCUGGAUUUAGAAUUUUUCCAUUGGAUGCAACUGAAGGGCAAGGAGUCAAUGGAAUGUUGCGGCUUUCCUACUUCUGCUGUUUGGUGAGCAGGAGGGAGUGGGGCUCAAUGGCUUCUUCACUUCUGUAGUUUGGCAAGUGGGAGGAAGUGCUACAGUCUUUUUACUCCUGCCACCAGCCACUCAGUGAGCUGGAGCACUAUAGUUCCUGUGCUCCUGCAGUUCGGUGAGUUCCCGGUUCUUGUCCCAUGAUCAAGAAGAAUAAGGCAGAUGGACACUGGAGAGUGAGUAAAGCAGAGUAGGAUUUGCUAAGCAACAGAAAAAGUUCUCAGCAGAGAGGGAAUCCAAAAGAUGGUUGCUGGCUGCAGGGCUAAGUUCAGGGUUUAUACGGACUGGGAAGGAAGGAGGAGUGUGCUGACUGGUCUGGGGGCUGUUUGGAAAAAACACCACUCAGAAAGAGACACGAUGAUGUAAAAAAACCAACUGAAGGCAGAAUUGAAGUCUCAGCUCACAACUGAUGGGGGGCUGGAGUGACGUUUCACUCUAUGCAAAUGAAGACUCAGCCCAUAGCCAAUCACAGAAAGAUAGGUAUAUGGUGAAAGGUAAGGACCAAUUGGAAAGAAGCAUGCCAAAUGGGAGUGGGAGUCCUCAUUCUGGUCUGUGGAUUCUAUCCAGAACUGGCAUCUCAGUUUUCAAGCCUUAGACUAUCCUCGGCUUCAAGGUUGAGUUUCACCAGAGACCCAUCCCUGCCUGCCGAGGAAUUCACCUGCCUUCCAUGGCUAUUAAGAGGAAAAUAUUGACAGUAAAACUUAAGUUUGUUUAGGAUCAGGGAAUGUAAGUGAUGUAGAAAGAAAAUAAAAAGGGAGAAAAUAGAGAAAACAGAGGCUGAAGGUUGUAGUGAGAUCAAAGAGCAGAUGUAGUAGGGGAAACCAGGUGGGACAUUUUGAAGAGUAAAUGGCUUUGAUAAGAGUGGGGUGUUUGAAUUUAUACUGUUAAAGGUGAUUAGGGUAAAAUAUACUAUUCUUUCCACUCUUCUUUGAAAAAUUUUAUAAUUAAAAAAUGAUAUAUCAGGUGGAGCACUUUCUGAUAUUGAACUGAAAUCUGCCACAUCCUUCAUUAGUGGGGACCUCUCUACCCACCAUAGAAAGGAAGUGAAGUAUCAAUGGGCAUGGGGAGACAGAGAAACACUUAUAAAUGGAAUAGAUUAGGUUUAAAAAGUUCCUGUGGAAAGUGAGAGAUAACUAUCAAUUCUCACUUUGGGUCUUGGUAAGAGCUAUGAAAAUGGGUGACUGAAGAGUGAAGCUGAAGGUCACUGGAGUUCUGUCUGUGAGAGUCUUAGAACAAGAAAAAAGCAGAUAUCCACUUAAGCUAAUUUAACCGAAAACAGGGUAGAGUGGGCUGAACUGUGUCCCCACAAAAGAUAUGUUGAAGUCCUAACCACCAAUACUUGUGUGAUUGUGACCCUAUUUGGAAACAGAAUCUUUGCAGAUGUAAUCAAGGUCAGAUGAGGUCAGCCUGGAUUAGGGUGGGCCAUAAAUUUACAACUCGUUUCUUUAUAAGAGAAGAAGAGAAAGGUGCUGAUAGAGAGACACAGGGGACACACAGGGAAGCAGGCCAUGUGAAGAACAGAUUUAGAAAUUGAAAUGAUAUAGCUACAAGCCAAAAAGAUGCCGAGAAUUACCUACAACCACCAGAAGCUAGAAGACAGGCACAGAACAUAUGUUCCCUCAGAGACUCCAGAAAGAAACAACCCUGGCCAGGCACAGUGGCUCACACUUGUAGUCCUAGCACUUUGGGGCACUUUAGGGGGCCAAGGAGGGAGGAUCACUUCAGGCCUGGAGUUUGAGACCAGUAUGGUGAAUACAUGAGCUGGUAACAUAGUCUUUUUUUUUUCUUUUUGAGACAGGAUCUUACUGUG
Molecule: long non-coding RNA, 2742 nt
Organism: Cercocebus atys (sooty mangabey)
Lineage: Eukaryota; Metazoa; Chordata; Mammalia; Primates; Cercopithecidae
Exons: 3
Source: RefSeq, a predicted model, not a curated record